GACGAACGCUGACGGCGUGCUUAACACAUGCAAGUCGAACGGUGAAGCGCCUUCCUUUUUGGUGGGUGUGGAUGAGUGGCGAACGGGUGAGUAACACGUGAGUAACCUGCCCCCUUCUUCUGGAUAACCGCAUGAAAGUGUGGCUAAUACGGGAUAUUCUGGGUCUGUCGCAUGAUGGGUCUGGGAAAGAUAUUGUUUCGGUGGGGGAUGGGCUCGCGGCCUAUCAGCUUGUUGGUGGGGUGAUGGCCUACCAAGGCGGUGACGGGUAGCCGGCCUGAGAGGGUGGACGGUCACACUGGGACUGAGACACGGCCCAGACUCCUACGGGAGGCAGCAGUGGGGAAUAUUGCACAAUGGGCGCAAGCCUGAUGCAGCGACGCCGCGUGAGGGAUGGAGGCCUGCGGGUUGUGAACCUCUUUCGCCAGUGAAGCAGGCCUGCCUCGUUUGUGGGUGGGUUGACGGUAGCUGGAUAAGAAGCGCCGGCUAACUACGUG
Molecule: ribosomal RNA, 494 nt
Filed under: uncultured bacterium
Lineage: Bacteria
Description: partial 16S ribosomal RNA
Rfam family: Bacterial small subunit ribosomal RNA
Source: RNAcentral